Small nuclear RNA from Cercocebus atys (sooty mangabey), 65 nucleotides. Its record names the gene U7. It matches the Rfam family "U7 small nuclear RNA". From Rfam's summary of the family: Animal histone pre-mRNAs are spliced by a different mechanism than nuclear pre-mRNAs and self-splicing introns. This processing involves the U7 snRNP, which contains only one RNA species: U7. The record is from Ensembl. Lineage: Eukaryota; Metazoa; Chordata; Mammalia; Primates; Cercopithecidae.
UAGUGCUUCAGCUUUUUUAAAGAAUCUUGUCUAGCUGGUUUUCUGGUUUUCACUGGAAAGCCCAU